GUUAGGAAUAUUGGACAAUGGGCGAAAGCCUGAUCCAGCCAUGCCGCGUGAACGAUGAAGGCCUUCGGGUUGUAAAGUUCUUUAGCCGAUGAUUAUAAUGACUGUAGUCGGAAAAUAAGCCCCGGCUAACUUCGUGCCAGCAGCCGCGGUAAUACGAAGGGGGCGAGCGUUAUUCGGAAUCACUGGGCGUAAAGCGUGCGUAGGCGGUUUUGUAAGUUAGGAGUGAAAGCCCAGGGCUCAACCUUGGAAUUGCUCUUAAAACUGCAAGGCUCGAAUCUCGGUGAGGAUAGCGGAAUUUCCAGUGUAGCAGUGAAAUGCGUAGAUAUUGGAAGGAACACCAGUGGCGUAAGCGGCUAUCUGGACGAGUAUUGACGCUGAGGCACGAAAGCGUGGGGAUCAAACAGGAUUAGAAACCCUGGUAGUCC
This 425-nucleotide ribosomal RNA is filed under the name uncultured bacterium. RNAcentral's name for it is "partial 16S ribosomal RNA". It matches the Rfam family "Bacterial small subunit ribosomal RNA", at positions 354 to 796 of the family's 1533-position model. The record is from RNAcentral.